AAGUUCCUCAAAUGUAUAUCUGACUUUGUUUCUAGAAUUUAGGUUUUGUUGCCAUUACGAUUUUUAGUUAAUUUCAGUAGCAUAAAACGUUUAGGUGAUUUAAUUUAUUUUGAAUCAAUUUUGUCACGCUGUUAGAACCAUUUUAAAAUACUUUUAAACGAUUUAUUGUGAUAAUGUAUGAUAUUGUAUCCUACAUAGCACAGAGAGGAAUUCUGGAGCUGGAUGUUGGAUAUUAUUGGGGAAGCAUUGGACCUGGAAGAGUAUCAGUAGGAGAUAUAGGCUGUGGUGAGUCGAGGCUGCUGUUAUUCGAACAGGGACGUUUUUCACUAGUUUUUGAAAAGGAAAUUAGAGGAAAAAACGAGGUGUGUUCUCCGAGGAUACUAUGGGUAUAACUUAAGUAUUAGUAGUGGUAGGGUUAGCACAAAAGAGAUUUACAGAAUCAUUUGAUUUAAGAGAAGGAUUUUUUGUGGGAUGGAAGUGUGGGGCAUGAAUCAGUAGUGUGCCCAGCCUGUUUGCAGAAAAAGCAUUCGAGUUUGUGGGUAGAAAUGAAUAUUCUAUGUGUAGUGUUGUAGGUAAUAUGCAAAUUACACGGCAGAAGCUGGGAACAUGUACAUAUCCAUUAUCAGGUUAGCCACAUUUGACGUAUGAUAUAAAGAGAGGAAAGUGAUAACUCUAAGUCAUGCAAUGCUUUCUCAAUGACGGAAUGGGGAACUGAUGGACAAACAUUGAAAAUAAGUAUUCUUUUGGUUGGAGAUAUAAACCGACGUAUAGGGAUUAUAUUGGAAUUAACUAGGAUGUUUUGGUUGGUUUUCAGAAGGUGGUCGAGAUAAAUAAAUAUAUAUUCUGGAUAUGAAAAUAUAUAAUUUAGUCAAAUAGUAUUGUGAUAUCUCAACCAUUUUCAAUUACUCUGAUUCCUUUCAGCAUCAUCAUUUCGUUUAGAAACUCUAUUUGCUUUCUAUUGCCCACGAAUGUUGAAUUUAAAGGUUUGUAUGUAUUUAUUGAUGAGGUGUUAAACACAUCAAACAAUUUAUCAAACUUUUCAAUAAUAUAUGCAGUACCCAUUGUUUCUGACAGUAGUGCACCCAGGCUCACUGAUAUAUUUAGACCUGCUGCUACUGCAGCACUCAACACUUGUGUAGCUAAUUUGACCUUCAUUUUGUCAAAAUUGCUUGGCCAAAUGUGUGAAUUGGUUAAUUUUGGGGCUAGUCUGAAAUGUAAUUUUCUAUCUGCAUUGAAGAAAUCUUCAAUAUAUUUCCACGAGGCUGUUUUCUCCUUGAAUGUAAAUGUAUGUGCCAUUAAGUUGUUUCUUACAGCUUUUAUUAGAUGUGGUGGGUCAAAAACAUACCAAAAUUUAAUCUCCUUUACCUUAAAGAAAGGAUAUCUCUCCAUCACACCUAAUAGAUGUGCCAUUUGUAUAAAAUUUCUUCCCAGAUCAGAAACCAAUAUUUGUUUUCAUAAUCCAUAAUCUUCUAACCCAAUAAUUUCAUCUUUAGAAAUAUGGAAGAAAAGGUUUGACUUCAAAAACAUUUCAUCAAUGCAAAAAAUACAGUAUCUGUCUAAUUCAUUCAAUGCCUCAAUUUUGGGUUUUAUACUCUUGAAUAACUUUUCAUUUAAACCAGCAUUCAUAGGCAUGUUUUAUGUCAUUCUCUGCAGAAUAACGUCUACCUUUUGGCAUUCUCAUAUGAAGAUUUGCCUGCAUUUUCACAAACUUAGCAGAUGCUGGUGGUAGUAAUUUUUUUAACGAACACUUAAAUUGUGUUAACAUUUGUUUGCGUGACAAUUAACCCCUUUCUUGGGGUAUUAUAACUUAGAUAUUCUUCUAGUUUCCAUAACUGGAUCUGCUGUUGAUGUCGAUGGCCUGGGCUCACAAUCUAAAAAACUGUAGUAUUAGUAUCAUUUUUAAUAGACAAUAGACAAAUAUUACCAAGUCCAUAUAAACCAGUACUUUUUAUCUGGAUAGAAGAAUCUAAUUUUCUUCUUUUCGGGUCCCCUAUUUCCUUUGCUUCAGGAAUAGCAUGUGGUUGUAGACGAUUUAGGUUUUUAUUAGUUUUUAACCAGAUCCUUUUGUUGUUAAGAAAAUAAUGGCUUUUAAACAUGUCCUUAAAACUUUCCAGCAUCAGUGCUUUAAAAAUAUAAAUUAUAAAAAGGGGUGAAAACGCCUUAGAGUCCAGUCAUGUGAAGAAAAUGGAUUUUGACUCUGAUUUGCAGAGGGGAAGUAUUUGCUAGUAUGAAAGACAAAAGCUACAAGGUAUCUAUAGUGCCAUUUGUGAGAAUCUAAUGACACCUUGGCUUCGUCAGGGACUAAGCAUCCCAACUUUGCAAUGCAACCUGAAGAGGAAAAUUGAAGAUAUUUUAGGGGAAGAAGUCCAAGACAGUCAAAAACGGAAAACCUGCGCUUUUUGUGCUUAAAAAACGCAGAAUGACAGUUUCAG
Molecule: long non-coding RNA, 2432 nt
Organism: Diorhabda carinulata
Lineage: Eukaryota; Metazoa; Arthropoda; Insecta; Coleoptera; Chrysomelidae
Exons: 4
Source: RefSeq, a predicted model, not a curated record